This 321-nucleotide ribosomal RNA is filed under the name Paenibacillus sp. UNC496MF. RNAcentral's name for it is "bacterial LSU rRNA". It matches the Rfam family "Bacterial large subunit ribosomal RNA", at positions 2597 to 2925 of the family's 2925-position model. Lineage: Bacteria; Bacillati; Bacillota; Bacilli; Caryophanales; Paenibacillaceae. The record is from RNAcentral.
UACGCGAGCUGGGUUCAGAACGUCGUGAGACAGUUCGGUCCCUAUCUGUCGUGGGCGCAGGAAAUUUGAGAGGAGCUGUCCUUAGUACGAGAGGACCGGGAUGGACGCACCGCUGGUGUACCAGUUGUUCCGCCAGGAGCACCGCUGGGUAGCCAAGUGCGGACGGGAUAAGCGCUGAAAGCAUCUAAGCGUGAAGCCCCCCUCAAGAUGAGAUUUCCCAAUUUAGUAAGACCCCUUGAAGACGACGAGGUAGAUAGGUUCGAGGUGGAAGCGCAGCAAUGCGUGGAGCUGACGAAUACUAAUCGGUCGAGGGCUUAUCCU